This 49-nucleotide non-coding RNA is filed under the name Trichobilharzia regenti. The record is from RNAcentral. Lineage: Eukaryota; Metazoa; Platyhelminthes; Trematoda; Strigeidida; Schistosomatidae.
GUACUGCUGAAGAGUCUCAAACUAGCGGUACGAAACAGCUGUCCAGUAC